UGAACGCUGGCGGCGUGCCUACUACAUGCACGUCGAGCGAACAGACGAGGAGCUUACUCCUCUGACGUUAGCGGCGGACGGGUGAGUAACACGUGGAUAACCUACCUAUAAGACUGGGAUAACUUCGGGAAACCGGAGCUAAUACCGGAUAACAUGUUGAACCGCAUGGUUCAACAGUGAAAGACGGUCUUGCUGUCACUUAUAGAUGGAUCCGCGUCGCAUUAGCUAGUUGGUAAGGUAACGGCUUACCAAGGCAACGAUGCGUAGCCGACCUGAGAGGGUGAUCGGCCACACUGGAACUGAGACACGGUCCAGACUCCUACGGGAGGCAGCAGUAGGGAAUCUUCCGCAAUGGGCGAAAGCCUGACGGAGCAACGCCGCGUGAGUGAAGAAGGUCUUCGGAUCGUAAAACUCUGUUAUUAGGGAAGAACAAAUGUGUAAGUAACUAUGCACGUCUUGACGGUACCUAAUCAGAAAGCCACGGCUAACUACGUG
RNAcentral lists this ribosomal RNA (495 nucleotides) under uncultured bacterium. RNAcentral's name for it is "partial 16S ribosomal RNA". It matches the Rfam family "Bacterial small subunit ribosomal RNA", at positions 30 to 507 of the family's 1533-position model. The record is from RNAcentral.